RNAcentral lists this ribosomal RNA (301 nucleotides) under uncultured bacterium. RNAcentral describes it as "partial 16S ribosomal RNA". It matches the Rfam family "Bacterial small subunit ribosomal RNA", at positions 509 to 807 of the family's 1533-position model. The record is from RNAcentral.
CAGUAGCCGCGGUAAUACGGAGGGUGCAAGCGUUAAUCGGAAUUACUGGGCGUAAAGCGUGCGUAGGCGGUUCGUUAAGUCUGUUGUGAAAGCCCCGGGCUCAACCUGGGAAUGGCAAUGGAUACUGGCGAGCUAGAGUGUGUCAGAGGAUGGUGGAAUUCCCGGUGUAGCGGUGAAAUGCGUAGAGAUCGGGAGGAACAUCAGUGGCGAAGGCGGCCAUCUUGGACAACACUGACGCUGAGGCACGAAAGCGUGGGGAGCAGACAGGAUUAGAUACCCCCGUAGUCCCUGUCUCUUAUAC